Molecule: ribosomal RNA, 254 nt
Filed under: uncultured bacterium
Lineage: Bacteria
Description: partial 16S ribosomal RNA
Rfam family: Bacterial small subunit ribosomal RNA
Source: RNAcentral
UACGUAGGGUGCGAGCGUUGUCCGGAAUUAUUGGGCGUAAAGAGCUCGUAGGCGGUCUGUCGCGUCGAUCGUGAAAACUUGGGGCUUAACCCUGAGCUUGCGGUCGAUACGGGCAUGACUGGAGUUCGGCAGGGGAGACUGGAAUUCCUGGUGUAGCGGUGAAAUGCUUAGAUAUGACAUAGAACACCCAUUGCGAAGGCAGCUAACUACGCGAUAAUUGACGCUGAUGCACGAAAGCGUGGGGAUCAAACAGG